GAUGAACGCUGGCGGCGUGCCUAAUACAUGCAAGUCGAGCGAACGGACGAGAAGCUUGCUUCUCUGAUGUUAGCGGCGGACGGGUGAGUAACACGUGGAUAACCUACCUAUAAGACGGGGAUAACUUCGGGAAACCGUAGCUAAUACCGGAUAAUAUUUUGAACCGCAUGGUUCAAAAGUGAAAGACGGUCUUGCUGUCACUUAUAGAUGGAUCCGCGCUGCAUUAGCUAGUUGGUAAGGUAACGGCUUACCAAGGCAACGAUGCAUAGCCGACCUGAGAGGGUGAUCGGCCACACUGGAACUGAGACACGGUCCAGACUCCUACGGGAGGCAGCAGUAGGGAAUCUUCCGCAAUGGGCGAAAGCCUGACGGAGCAACGCCGCGUGAGUGAUGAAGGUCUUCGGAUCGUAAAACUCUGUUAUUAGGGAAGAACAUAUGUGUAAGUAACUGUGCACAUCUUGACGGUACCUAAUCAGAAAGCCACGGCUAACUACGUG
RNAcentral lists this ribosomal RNA (497 nucleotides) under uncultured bacterium. Its description in RNAcentral is "partial 16S ribosomal RNA". It matches the Rfam family "Bacterial small subunit ribosomal RNA", at positions 28 to 507 of the family's 1533-position model. The record is from RNAcentral.